RNAcentral lists this ribosomal RNA (455 nucleotides) under uncultured bacterium. Its description in RNAcentral is "bacterial SSU rRNA". It matches the Rfam family "Bacterial small subunit ribosomal RNA", at positions 340 to 786 of the family's 1533-position model. The record is from RNAcentral.
UACGGAAGGCAGCAGUGGGGAAUAUUGCACAAUGGGCGAAAGCCUGAUGCAGCUAUGCCGCGUGUAUGAAGAAGGCCUUAGGGUUGUAAAGUACUUUCAUCGGGGAGGAAAAACAAAACUAAUAAUUUUAUUUCUUGACGUUACCCGAAAAAGAAGCACCGGCUAACUCCGUGCCAGCAGCCGCGGUAAUACGGAGGGUGCUAGCGUUAAUCAGAAUUACUGGGCGUAAAGAGCACGUAGGUGGUUUUUUUAAGCCAGAUGUGAAAUCCCUGGGCUUAACCUGGAACUGCAUUUUGAAACUGAAAUACUAGAGUAUCGUAGAGGGAGGUAGAAUUCUAGGUGUAGCGGUGAAAUGCGUAGAUAUCUGGAGGAAUACCUGUGGCGAAAGCGGCCUCCUAAACGAAUACUGACACUGAGGGUGCGAAAGCGUGGGGAGCAAACAGGGAUUAGAUACC